UAGGGAAUCUUCCGCAAUGGACGCAAGUCUGACGGAGCAACGCCGCGUGAGUGAAGAAGGAUUUCGGUUCGUAAAACUCUGUUGUUAGAGAAGAACAGCGCAUAGAGUAACUGUUAUGCGUGUGACGGUAUCUAACCAGAAAGCCACGGCUAACUACGUGCCAGCAGCCGCGGUAAUACGUAGGUGGCAAGCGUUGUCCGGAUUUAUUGGGCGUAAAGCGAGCGCAGGCGGUCAAUUAAGUCUGAUGUGAAAGCCCCCGGCUCAACCGGGGAGGGUCAUUGGAAACUGGUUGACUUGAGUGCAGAAGAGGAGAGUGGAAUUCCAUGUGUGGCGGUGAAAUGCGUAGAUAUAUGGAGGAACACCAGUGGCGAAGGCGACUCUCUGGUCUGUAACUGACGCUGAGGCUCGAAAGCGUGGGUAGCAAACAGG
This 429-nucleotide ribosomal RNA is filed under the name Bacteroidota bacterium. RNAcentral describes it as "Bacteroidetes bacterium partial 16S ribosomal RNA". It matches the Rfam family "Bacterial small subunit ribosomal RNA", at positions 355 to 776 of the family's 1533-position model. The record is from RNAcentral. Lineage: Bacteria; Pseudomonadati; Bacteroidota.